This 98-nucleotide long non-coding RNA is filed under the name Anolis carolinensis (green anole). RNAcentral describes it as "lncRNA (ENSACAG00000040773.1)". The record is from RNAcentral. Lineage: Eukaryota; Metazoa; Chordata; Lepidosauria; Squamata; Anolidae.
AACAACAAUCCGGACCCACAAAACUCACAACAACGCAUCAUGACUAUAACAACACAACUAAACGUCCCAGAAAUACAAAACUCACAACAACGCAUCAU